RNAcentral lists this long non-coding RNA (335 nucleotides) under Glycine max (soybean). Its description in RNAcentral is "long non-coding RNA (GMAX_LNC002229)". The record is from RNAcentral. Lineage: Eukaryota; Viridiplantae; Streptophyta; Magnoliopsida; Fabales; Fabaceae.
CACGCCAUAAAUGCGAAACGUCUGAAACCAUUCACAAAAACCUCUUCGCUUACUUCCACAACUAUUCACCUUCAGACUCCUCACAUCACCACUAACUUUCACAUUCCAAAAGCAACAAUUGAGUUGCACCGUUCCCAACAAAUACCUACCGCCACUUAUACCAUGGGGAAGAUCAAUCAAUUAAUAAACUCCACCCAACUACUAAACCAUCUUACACGUUCCCCUGCAAACUUCAUCUCAACAUCUUAUCACCAUACUUUCACUUCAGAAUAACACCAAAAUGAGUAUGACAUCCUCCACUGCCUCAAGCAGAGUAAGCACCCUUUCUUUAAAAC